This 483-nucleotide ribosomal RNA is filed under the name uncultured bacterium. RNAcentral describes it as "bacterial SSU rRNA". It matches the Rfam family "Bacterial small subunit ribosomal RNA", at positions 995 to 1493 of the family's 1533-position model. The record is from RNAcentral.
UUGAUGCAGAGAUGGCUUUCUUCAGUUCGGCUGGCUGGAACACAGGUGCUGCAUGGCUGUCGUCAGCGUCGUGUCGUGAGAUGUUGGGUUAAGUCCCGCAACGAGCGCAACCCUCGCUACUAGUUGCCAUCAGGUUAAGCUGGGCACUCUAGUGGAACUGCCGGUGGCAAGCCGGAGGAAGGUGGGGAUGACGUCAAGUCCUCAUGGCCCUUACGCGUGGGGCUACACACGUGCUACAAUGGCGGUGACAGAGGGAUAAUCCCUAAAAGCCGUCUCAGUUCGGAUUGUUCUCUGCAACUCGAGAGCAUGAAGUUGGAAUCGCUAGUAAUCGCGGAUCAGCAUGCCGCGGUGAAUACGUUCCCGGGCCUUGUACACACCGCCCGUCACACCAUGGGAGUUGGUUCUACCCGAAGGUGGUGCGCUAACCGCAAGGAGGCAGCCAACCACGGUAGGGUCAGCGACUGGGGUGAAGUCGUCGUAACA